UACGAACUGUGCGAACGUUAUUCGGAAUCACUGGGCUUACAGGGUGCGUAGGCGGCUCAACAAGUCAGGUGUGAAAGCCCCCGGCUCAACCGGGGAACUGCGCUUGAAACUGUUAGGCUCGAGUCAGCUAGAGGUACACGGAACUUCCAGUGGAGCGGUGAAAUGUGUUGAUAUUGGAAGGAACACCGGAGGCGAAAGCGGUGUACUGGAGCUGGUCUGACGCUGAGGCACGAAAGCCAGGGGAGCGAACGGG
Molecule: ribosomal RNA, 253 nt
Filed under: uncultured bacterium
Lineage: Bacteria
Description: partial 16S ribosomal RNA
Rfam family: Bacterial small subunit ribosomal RNA
Source: RNAcentral